This 460-nucleotide ribosomal RNA is filed under the name uncultured bacterium. Its description in RNAcentral is "partial 16S ribosomal RNA". It matches the Rfam family "Bacterial small subunit ribosomal RNA", at positions 338 to 795 of the family's 1533-position model. The record is from RNAcentral.
CCUACGAGAGGCAGCAGUGAGGAAUAUUGGUCAAUGGGCGCGAGCCUGAGCCAGCCAAGUAGCGUGAAGGAUGACUGACCUACGGGUUGUAAACUUCUUUUAUAAAGGAAUAAAGUGAGGCACGUGUGCCUUUUUGUAUGUCCUUUAUGCAUAAGGAUCGGCUAACUCCGUGCCAGAAGCCGCGGUAAUACGGAGGAUCCGAGCGUUAUCCGGAUUUCUUGGGUUUAAAGGGAGCGUAGAUGGGUUGUUAAGUCAGUUGUGAAAGUUUGCGGCUCAAACGUAAAAUUGCAAUUGAUACUGGCAGUCGUGAGUACAGUAGAGGUAGGCGGAAUGCGUGGUGUAGCGGUGAAAUGCUUAGAUAUCACGAAGAACUCCGAUUGCGAAGGCAGCUUACUAAACUGCCACUGACAUUGAUGCUCGAAAGUGUGGGUAUCAAACAGGAUUAGAUACCCUUGUAGUC